UAAAUAGCUUGGUCUGCUAUACAAAAAAUAAUUUUUAUUUUUUUAAAAUUUCUUUUAGUAAUUUUAUAUGCGAGUUUGUUAUGAUCUGUAAAUGAAACAGGCUAGUUACAUAAAAGAAGCAUAUUUUCCGGAUUGUUUAUUCUAAUGUUGUGCCAAAUGGCAUCUAUUGUUAACCUUUAUUUUGUGCUAUUUAUUUCAAGAUCAUAUGAGGCAGAACUGAAUUAUCAGAAAAGAAAAACUCAAGUCCAGAGGGAGAGUCCUCAGAUAUUGCUUCUAGAGCAUUUCGGUGCCUCCCUAGAAAGUGUGAUCGGGUGAGUUGCUGUGGUUCACACAUUGGCUGCGGGUGUGACAAUGGAUUAAGUGCAACAUUUUCUCAAUAUGCUUGGCUCGUAUUCAGCUUACAAGGAGAGGUGGGAUCCACCUGAAUUUCAACUUUCUUGAACACCAUAAAGUACGUUCAUCUGCAAUCCCAUAUUCCUGUUUUUCAUAGCUUCUGGUACUUGUACCAUUCUGACGUUUUCCGUGUCUUUGAACGAACAGACUCCUCCUUUAGGAGGCCGUAUGAAAUGUGGAUGGCGAGCUUUUUCUAGCCCACCGACUCCCUGCUCAAUUAUUUCGAGGCCUUGUUAGCUCGUUUGAACGAGGCCUCGAAGCAUAGCCACUUCUCAGAAAUGUGCACACCAGUACCCAUUUCCAUAUUCGCAUGACUUGUGUCCACUAGAAUUCUAAUGAACACUUCUGCUAUAUGGUCGUCAAGUAAUUAAUUUCUUAAGGAUUGAUACUAUGUUAUAGUAGUGAUGAAUCCUCUUUUGUGCGAUGGCCUCUCAUCCUAGCCUAUGGCUGAAUUUCACAUGUGAUGGUGCUGUUGCUGAGCUUAGCUAAGAAUGCAGCCUAUAUUGGCAUAAUGAGACAAGAUUGGAAAAGCAAUAUGCUUCCUGGAAGAGGAACGAAAAUUGUGGCUGGACCAGAAGUCAUGUCAAACACAGUAAAAUUUUCUUCCAUUCUCCGAA
This 1010-nucleotide long non-coding RNA is filed under the name Olea europaea subsp. europaea. The record is from RNAcentral. Lineage: Eukaryota; Viridiplantae; Streptophyta; Magnoliopsida; Lamiales; Oleaceae.